UGCGGAGCUACCAUGCAAGUCGAGCGAGACCUUCGGGUCUAGCGGCGGACGGGUGAGUAACGCGUGGGAACGUGCCCUUCUCUACGGAAUAGUCCCGGGAAACUGGGUUUAAUACCGUAUACGCCCUUCGGGGGAAAGAUUUAUCGGAGAAGGAUCGGCCCGCGUUAGAUUAGGUAGUUGGUGGGGUAAUGGCCUACCAAGCCUACGAUCUAUAGCUGGUUUGAGAGGAUGAUCAGCCACACUGGGACUGAGACACGGCCCAGACUCCUACGGGAGGCAGCAGUGGGGAAUCUUAGACAAUGGGGGCAACCCUGAUCUAGCCAUGCCGCGUGAGUGAUGAAGGCCUUAGGGUCGUAAAGCUCUUUCGCUGGGGAAGAUAAUGACUGUACCCAGUAAAGAAACCCCGGCUAACUCCGUGCCAGAGCCGCGGUAA
This 433-nucleotide ribosomal RNA is filed under the name uncultured Roseobacter sp. Its description in RNAcentral is "bacterial SSU rRNA". It matches the Rfam family "Bacterial small subunit ribosomal RNA", at positions 38 to 523 of the family's 1533-position model. The record is from RNAcentral. Lineage: Bacteria; Pseudomonadati; Pseudomonadota; Alphaproteobacteria; Rhodobacterales; Roseobacteraceae.